GACGAACACUGGCGGCGUGCUUAACACAUGCAAGUCGAACGGAAAGGCCUGCUUUCCCUUGUGGAUUGCGGGUACUCGAGUGGCGAACGGGUGAGUAACACGUGAGUGAUCUGCCCCCAACUUGGGUAUAAGCCUGGGAAACUGGGUCUAAUUCCCGAUAGGACUGCAGGGUGGUGCCUGUGGUGGAAAACGAUUUUCUAGUGGUUGGGGAUGAGCUCGCGGCCUAUCAGCUUGUUGGUGGGGUAAUGGCCUACCAAGGCGGCGACGGGUAGCCGGCCUGAGAGGGUGGACGGCCACAGUGGGACUGAGAUACGGCCCAGACUCCUACGGGAGGCAGCAGUGGGGAAUAGUGCACAAUGGGCGGAAGCCUGAUGCAGCGACGCCGCGUGGGGGAUGACGGCCUUCGGGUGGUAAACUCCUUUCGACCGCGAGGAAGCCACCUGGUUGGAAGGGUGGUGACGGUAGUGGUAGAAGAAGCACCGGCUAACUACGUG
RNAcentral lists this ribosomal RNA (494 nucleotides) under uncultured bacterium. Its description in RNAcentral is "partial 16S ribosomal RNA". It matches the Rfam family "Bacterial small subunit ribosomal RNA", at positions 28 to 507 of the family's 1533-position model. The record is from RNAcentral.